AUAAAGUGCAGAGCCAAGCGAGAUGAUCAGGAGAACCUGUGAAAAAGCUAACAGAAAGUUAUACUUGUAUCCCACCAGAGAAUGUGAAGAAUUUAAGAUAAACAAUUGUAUGAAGUUAAAAAAUUAGCAGAUAAUUGUAUGCUAAAAAUGCAAGAAGAAACUGGACAGAGUUUAUGGAUUUGCUGGCCAGGAAAGGGAAAUCACUUGUUUCACAUGUGUCCUUUCAGUUGAAUCAAUUUAACUACUCCAACAGAUAUGAACUUAGGAAAGUAAAAAAGGAAACUACUGCAUUUGAAAAUCCCAAUGAUUCCACCCAAAACUUUCUGACCAUUUUCUCAGUUAUAAAAAAAAGUAGAUUUCAUCCUCUCAUUCUUGUUUUCCUAUGGCUAUGGUUCAGUUUCCUAUGGCUAUGGUUCAGUUCAAACCCAAUACUAACAUAUUCUGAGAUAAAAAUUGACAAAUGCCUACUUUUACAGAGACACCACCUGAACUAAGCCUUAACAACAUUUUCAAGAUCCACAAUAAAAGGUGUACAAGAUUACGCUAGAGUUAUUUUUUCUCCCCCAAGCAAACACUUUCCUUUUCAUAGAUAGGAUUCUAAUAACUCUAAUAAAAAAUACGUAUAGUAGUAAAUAAAAAGAACAAUCUCCGAGCUGAAAAACAUUAAAACUAACUAACAUGAAUCUUCAAAAGUUGAACUUCCAAAAUCCAAAAGAGCUAAAGGUGUUCAAUUUAUCAGAAAUUAACUCACACACAAUAACUAUUCGAAAUUUAUAAAUUAAAAAAAAAAAUCAAUAAAGAGAAAUUAGCACCAGAAAGUAGAAACUUACAUAGCGAGUGAUUGAGUCUGCGUUUCAGGAAUGAAACUUUCUCCGAUCCUUUAAUUUCCUGAUCGUAUAACAAACAGCUCAAAAUUUCAGAAAUUAUUUUCAAAUUAUACGUUUGAAUCACAAAAAAAGGAAAAGAAAAAUGAUGAAUUAGCUUACAUGAUUAAAGCUUUUGCGAUGAUCAAUACAGAUCUGAUGAGUUUAUAUUAAACAGGAUGGAGCCCCGAAGGAAGAAGAUAUACUAAUAUGUUUUGUCUGAUUGAAGAUGUGGGAACCUCAGUUCAGGGUUCGUUGCGUUUAUAUACGCUGUGCAUAAUGACUUCCCUUAUCCUUCCAUUUCCAACAUAUUACGGAUCCCUAUUACCCACCCCUCCCUCCUCU
RNAcentral lists this long non-coding RNA (1208 nucleotides) under Nicotiana tabacum (common tobacco). RNAcentral describes it as "long non-coding RNA (NTAB_LNC015081)". Lineage: Eukaryota; Viridiplantae; Streptophyta; Magnoliopsida; Solanales; Solanaceae. The record is from RNAcentral.